Molecule: RNA transcript, 6618 nt
Organism: Beta vulgaris subsp. vulgaris (sugar beet)
Lineage: Eukaryota; Viridiplantae; Streptophyta; Magnoliopsida; Caryophyllales; Amaranthaceae
Exons: 7
Source: RefSeq, a predicted model, not a curated record
UGAUCUUGUUUGUUUUUUUUUUUUUUUUGAAUUAGGUUUGAUUUACUCGAGUUUCUCGAAUUUUGCUUUUUUUUUUCUCUCUCUAAAUUUCGAGUAGUUUGGGAUUUCCGUUCUAUGUUUAAUUUGCGUUUAAUUUACUUGAGUUUCUUCUGUUGUUGAUGUUGAAGUUCUAUGUUUAAGCCAGGCUUUUUGAUUUUAAUAUUUUUACUUCUUGAAGUCUUUAUCGAAUUUUUUUUUUCGAUUUCAUGGUUGGGGUUCGUGGGUUCGGGUCUUGGUUUUCUUUUGAAGGUGUGUUUGAUCUGCGAAAAAAUUGAAUUUUGCAGAAUUCUUGAUGAAAUCUAGGGGGUGGGGGUGGGAGAGGGUUCUAUGUUUAAAUUACACUCGCCCUCUUCCUCUCCAUGUUAAGGGCUUCACAUAAGCCUGACGCUCUCACGUGCUCUUUCGUCCUCAAGGCAUGCGCACGUGCCUUGGCGAAGUUUGAGUGUCUUUUGAUGCAUUCGAUGGUUAUUCGAUCUGGGUUUAUGGUGGAUAUGCUUUUCCAGACUACAUUGAUGGAUGUUUAUUGUAAAGUUGGCGAGUUUAGGGGUGCUAAGAAGGUGUUCGAUGAAAUGCUUAAGAGAGAUAUUGUUUCUUGGAAUGCUUUGAUUUGUGGGUUGGCUCAAGGGAGCUUUCAUAAUGAGGCUUUGAAGUUGUUCCAAGAAAUGUUAGGAACAGGGUUGAAGGCGGAUGAGAUCACCGUGCUCGGUACUCUGUCUGCUUGCUCUCAAAUGGGGGCUUUGAAGGAAGGUGAUAAUGUUUGGUGUUUUAUCAAGGAGGAGAAAUUGGAUAUGAAGGUUGCAGUGUGUAAUGCAGGGAUUGAUAUGUAUAGAAAAUGUGGGUUUGUGGAUAGAGCGUACGUGGUUUUUAGGACUAUGAGGUGCAAGAAGAAUGUUAUUACGUGGAACACGAUUGUUAUGGGAUUCGCAAUGCAUGGGCAUGGGAUGGAAGCGAUUGCGCUUCUUAAAGAGAUGGAGUGUGUUGGGGUUUUCCCUGAUAUAUUAACCUAUCUGGGGGUGUUAUGUGCUUGCAACCAUGCAGGUUUGGUUGACGAAGGGUUUGGAUUGUUUAACUUGAUGGAGGAGAAAGGGAUUGUUCGUAAUGUGAAGCAUUAUGGUGCUGUGGUUGAUUUGUUGGGAAGGGCAGGGAGGCUUAAUGAAGCUUAUGAGGCUACAAAGUGCAUAUUAGAUUAGUUAUCUUUAUCAUGUGAAACUGAGAAAUUUAGGACUCUUGUGAGUUUACGAAACACAGGUCUUUAUGUAAAUCUUGUCAGAUUUGUGGCUGGAAAGUGCUAUCUGGUUCAUUUCUGCAAAUUCUGGUUCAUACUCUCUCCUUCUCUUCAUUUCUAACCUGAUCAUCAAAUUAUAUCUCAUGUUAUCUUCAUUUUCUACGUUUUUUCGGGGAUUUCGUUUCCUCUUUAUCGUUUUCAAGAGUUUCAUUUCAAUUAUUUUCCCCUUUUUGUCUUAAAUUCUACUUUAGUUGGUUGUUUGGUUCGAAUGUUUUCAUCGUAUUUUAAUCAAGCUGGAUUUGGUUAAAGGAUUUCUAUUCCCUUUUUGUGUGCUUCUCCCUUUUUGCAGGAACUGGUAUAUUUUCAAGGCCACACAUUGAUUAUUCCUCGAAUUUCAUUGGGUGAUCUCAGAAAUAAAUAUGAUGUUUGAGAAGUUUUCCCUGUGAUCAAAUUGAGGAGAAGCGGGCAUGUAAACUAUAUUUGUGGUCACAAAAGGAGGAAAUAUAACCUAUCCAUCUUAUGUUGGAAAAGGUUUGAAGGUUUUGUAAAUUAGAUUUAGCUUACAUGAUAUCUGAUUGAGCAAAUUUUCCCUGGAAAAAUUGACAUGUUUAUGAUGCUCGUGUGAUGAACAUAUUCCAGAUUUCAAGUUGUUUAAUGUUAUAAACAAGGCCCAAAUAUCUCCAGGUAUGUUGAUUUUUGAGUUGGGGCAUAUCUAUUUUGGCUGUUUGGUUGUUAAAUCUUAAUGGGUUGCACAUUUGCACUAAAAGAGGGACGUCGAUGGGGAGAAUUAACUCAAAAAAUAGUAUGACGAGUGUAUCAAGGAUUGUGAUCAAGCUGUUGAAAGAGGUAGGGAGCUUAGAUCAGACUACAAAAUGGUUUCCAGGGCCCUGACCAGGAAAGGAACUGCUUUGGCAAAAUUGGCAAAGACUUCAAAGGAUUAUGAACCAGCUAUUGAAGCGUUCCACAAAGCUUUGACAGAGCACCACAAUCCCGAUAAUUUUUUAGGGUUAUUACUUCCUCUUUUUGUUUUCAUUCUUCUUCCAUAACCCCUUUCUCUUUGUCAAGAGUCAGCUUACUAUGAUUUGAUCAUGGAAUCGAUUGCAAUAUUCAAUUUUAAAAGGUUCAAUUGUUUGAUUUCUGUUGUGAUCUCUAGAGUUUCGUGACGAAUUUGAUCUGAAAAUCGCACAUCUUGUGAUCGAAUCAGGCUACAAAUUUGAGUUUCCUCUUGGUAUGUUUAUUUGUAUCUGAAUUCCAGUUCACAUUUCAAUUUUGUGUGGCUCUUUUCUUUCGAAUGAACUUGAUUAGAAGUUCGCAAACCAAACCCACCUUCGCUCCAAUCUCUCUCUGUUCAGGUAUUCUUCUUUCAUUUAUAGGUUGGAUAAUUGUGCUGAGCUGCUUUUGUUUAUCUCAUUGAUAUUUUGGACUUGGAUCACGAAACAAUAGCUUACAGUUUUGCUGCCAUUUUUGAUAAAAACAAGCUUUAGAGUUGUGUUAUUUAUGAAAUUAUUGUUGGUUUUUUCUGCUUUGGUGAUUUCGGGUCUUUUCUCAAAGCAUGGAAUUAAACUUGUGUGUGUUGGGGCUCUUCUGCUUGCAAGAUUAGUGAAAACUGAAAAGGUGCAUGUUUGUAUUACACAUAUUUGAUACGUGAAGGAGUAUGGUUAAGUUUAUAAGUAUAUCGUGGUUGUUUAGCUGGUGCAGUCAUGAGUCCCACCUUUUCUUUUCUCCCCAAGAAUUCAGGAUUUUAACUAACUGGUUUUUAGGUCUUCAUGCUGCCUCACGUGCUUUACUCACGAUAUUAUAUGAUAGAAUGGAGGAAUUUGUUUCCAUCCAUGCUGAAAAAAUAGUGAUCGAGUUUACUAAUCUGAUAAGCUUUUGUUUCCAAGCUCUGUUCUCCCCACCUCAAUUUCAUAUGCCUCAGAAAAAAUAAAUUCAAGGUAACAACUUCCGAUAAGGUAAAUACUGAAAUUAGAUAAGUUGAGUUUAGGACAAAAUAAACACAUAUAAUUUAAGUUCAGCAUAAUAAGUCCAUAUAAAUUAAGAUAGAAAAGGCACUCGAAUGUUUAUAACAUUGAAAAAUGGCCUAGGUUUGUAGAAGAAGUGCACUCCAACUCUUACAAAAUGGUGAUCAGUUUCUAAAUAUGUUUUCUUAAAUUCAUGACAUGUUCAAGGUUCCCAUAGCAUACAUUAUUGUUGCUGCCAUUAUCCCAACUGCCAUAAAUUAAUCACCUUGUUAAGUUUGAUUAUCUAAUAUGCAGCACGAAAAUUCAACUUGCGAUGCUGCCCUAUGCUACAUGUCAUGUAUUGGAGUUAAUUGAAGAUAAAUGAGCAUGUCUAUGAGUUACUAUGAGAUAGAUAUCAAUUGUGCUUACCCUGUGUACAUUUCACUUUUAAUGUUCCCAUUCAUGUAGGAUUCGUGAGUCUCAUCCUAUUAAUCCAUUUUAUCGUAUUAGGAUCCUCUCUGUCUCCUGUCUUAAAGUGAUGCUACAUAAGUUAGUAAAUUGAAAUAGUCCCCCCCCCCCCCCCACCCACAUUUCCUUUCUUCAUGCAUUCCUAGCCAUUGAUUUAGGAAAUGGGCCUAACAUUUCUUUUAGGAGCUCAGAUUGUUAAUGAGAUUACAAAUCAGUGGUAGCGCUGUUGCUAUGUGAUUGUUAAUGAAAAUAUAGCUUUCAACUGCUAAUUGAUGUUUGAUCACUUAGAUUAUUUCCAUUUGGCAACAUUGUAUUCACAGGAUUCUUUUCUCUAAUUUUGAUUUAGAACUCUCCUCUGAUGGUGGGCUACAAGCAGUAGCACAACGCUCUCUUAGUGACGUUGAGAUUGAGCUACGAGAGAUGAGGCUGAGUUUGUUGAUGGAGAUUGAAAAGAGGAAGGUAGCAGAAGAAGCUCUACAGAGCAUGCAACAACAGUGGCAAAUUCUGCGAGAGAAGUUAGGGCUGUUGGAUUGGUACUUCCAGCAGAUCUUACUUCUUAUAGCUGAGGAAAUUGGUUACCUCUAUUUUUUCAAAUUCAAGUUCUAAUCCAUAAUAUUUGAUAAUUUACAGUUUUUAUACAUCGAUCUGAUUGUUUAGGUGUUCUAUGUGUGGUUUAAUUUGUUCUUGCAAUGUCUUGAGUUAUUAUUAUUAUUAUUAUUACUAUUAUUACUAAUAUUAUUAUUACUGUUGUUAUUAAUAAUUAAUAACAAUAGUUCAGUAAACAACGAAGUUCAAAUUUUGGUUAGGUUGGUUAGAUUCCCAAUUAGGGUCAUCUGGUGCCAAAUGCACCUUAGUUCCAGGGAGUAGAAAGAUGUCCAGCAGGGUUAUGAUGUGUAUUAUAACAUUUCAAAGCUUUCCCCAAAAGUACAGUUACUGUUCUAACCAGUGAAGGAGGUAUGUAUCCUGGUUUUAAGGCUCUUUUGGAAUGAAAAAGAAGGGUUGGGGUAAAUAGGGCGUCAUUUUAAUUUAAAAUUCAGAAAAUUGUCUCUGUCACAGUACAUCCCAUCUAGGGUUUGAGUUCCCUUCACAUAUAACCUUAUGGUAUAAAUACUCCUUUUAAUAGAAAGUGCCCCUCUCCUUUUGAGCUUGAGCUUCAAAUCUAAAAAUUGAUAGGUCAUUGCUUCAUGCCCUUCUUGUGUUAGGCAAUAACUAAUAUUUUAGUCAGUGGCUUGCCUUUAAUCAUCGAGAUAAAUUGAACUUAGCACAAAUCAAUUUCUAAAGAAACUUGCAAAGAUAACUACCUAUAAAUAUAUGCACACCAAAUCUAACUUGACAAUUAUGCACUUAUGACAAAUAUACCUCGACAAUUAUGAACUUUGACAAAAAAAGAGAGUCAAGUUGCUGUUUAUAUUGUGUGGAUUGCUUAAAGUUCUCUUUGUGCCUUUGUUUUUGAGAUUUAAAUGGAGAUUCAUGCUGGUUGAACUUCACUUUUAAGCUUGCUACAUGUUUUCCCUUGAAAGCAUGGAUGUUUUGAUUUGAAGCUUAUAGCUUAAUUUUAAGUGCCAAACUUAAAUAUGAUGUUGAUGGUGUUCCCACUGUAGGAUGUAAAGUUUUUGGGAGGUUUAGUGAUAAUAAAAUCUAAAAGUUCAGCCUAAAAGCAUAUCUUCUAAAAGCAUGUUUUUUUGAACUCUUGAACUCAUCUUAAUAUUGUUCAAAUGGCUUGUGUGUUGCGCCUAAUGUUUAUGAGACUUGGUAAUUAAUUUGGCCUGGUAUCUGCUGAGUUAUCUGGAAUAUUAGGAACUAGGUUUUCUUUGCUGCUAAUCCUGUGGACUCUCCUUCCAAUUCUGAUUCCGAAUUCAUACGGUCAGUUAAUAGUUCCUUUUCAAAUCAUCAUCGUUCGUUUCCAUUUUUUCUUCAUGUUCAGCUUAAUAUGAAUUUUUUUCCAUAUGUUUUUAAGCUCCCCUUUGCUUGCUUUCCUCACUCCUCUGCUGUUUUCUUACACCCUCCAACGGGUCCAACAAAUUAUGUGUUGCAAGCUCCUUUCUCUAAGCAAGAGAGCUGGAUCUCAUUCAUGAAUCAUGGACUGAGAUUAAAGAAAACAGAAGUGAAUGAACGCGGUCAGGAAGCUUGCUUGCUUGCUGCUGCUGCUGCUGCUGCUGCUGCUGCUGCUGCUGCUGCUGCUGCUGCUGUUGUUGUUGCUGCAAGGAAAGGUGUAGCCUCUUUUUAGAGUGGGUUAUUGCUAAUCUCAUGAUUGGGUUGUUUUAAUCACGUCAUCAUUUCUAUUAUUUGUAUAGUUGAUUAUCUUUGUAGGAAUCCCUAGAUUACAUACGUUGGUAUCGAGUUUCUAAUUGCUUUAUUUUUCGAUUUCUAUGUAAAAGUGAGGUGUCGAGCUAAGCUUUAACUGUUUUAAUUUGCGAUCUCGAGUAUUUUACUCAGUUUCCUCCAUAACCUUCUAAAAGUGACGCCAAUCGGGUUUCUAAUUGCUUUAUUUUACUGUUGAACGUUUACUCACCGCCAUUGACGUCCCUUCCAAAUUUCUACUUUACGAAUUCCUAAUUUCUGCUAAAUCCUUUCAUCUUUCUUUGUUGAUGCAAAUCUAUACUGUGCUAUUACUAAUCUGCAAAGGCUGACAGAUUCUUGCUAAAUCCUUUCUUUUUCUUCUUACUUUGUUGAUGCAAAUCUAUACUGUGUGAUUAACUAAUCUACAAAGGCCGAUUAACAAAGAAAAAAUGUUCCUUCUUCUUCUUGAACUUAAGAUUGGGUGCCUUGGAAUUAGCUAGCGUCCCUAUCUGCGGAUGGAUCUUGAAGGAGGUGCAAUUCAGCUACUUCUUGAGCAAACUCUCAAAAUUGUUCAAUCAAUUAUCCAUGCUUCGGAGGUUGAUGCAGCUAUUUCCCAGUGGCCAAAUUGGUGGCCAGGCGGCCUUAGUGCGGGAAUUUGCCAGCAUC